UGGGGCAGAGGUCAGGCCCAGAGUGCUGAAGUGCUGAAGCUCCUGUAGAAGGUCCUUCCAUGUGUCUUUCAGAUCCUGGGCUUGGCCUUCUCCAUAACCAUCACCCAGCACAUCCACUGGACUGGGUCUUGCUCUGUCAUCCAGACUGGAGUACAGUGGUGCAACCACGGCUCACUGCAGCCUUGAACUCCUGGGCUCAAGCAAUCCUCCUACCUCAGCCUCCAUAGCAGUCGGGACCACAGAAGUUGCCUGCUUCCCCUUCGCCUUUGCCUUCUGCCAUGAUUAUAAGUUUCCUGAGGCCUCCCAGCCAUGCUUCCUGUUAAGCCUGUGAAACUCCCCCAAUGGUGGAGCGAGUCGGGAAUCUCGGCUGCUGCAGGUGGAGCUCAGCUGGACAGCCUGAGCGUGGCCAUCCAGCCUGCCCUGAUUUCUCCUGAGCAUACAAGUGCCUGGUCCACACGUCCACAAGGUAACAAGGAAUGCAUUGCCAAAUACCUGGCUGAAAUCAAGGACACUGACAGAGGAUGCAGGAGGAGGAAACGUCACUUACCCUCUGGUAAUACACAUGGGCCAGGACUCCCGCCACCAGCUCAACCAGGAAGAUGACGAGCAACAGGCAGAAAUACUAGCAGCAAAGAGAGAGGACGGUCACCACUGGGAUCGGGUUGCUGCUAUGACAAAUGUUUCCCCACAGUGGUGGGGGUGGUAGAGAUACCUGCUGGGACCCCUAUCAUCCAUGCCAUCUUCCUCCUGGAUGUACCAGCCUCACUGGCUGCUGGCACCAAGUUCCCCACUUACUCCUUCCCUCUUUGGUCUGCUGAC
Molecule: long non-coding RNA, 819 nt
Filed under: Homo sapiens (human)
Lineage: Eukaryota; Metazoa; Chordata; Mammalia; Primates; Hominidae
Description: TSPAN11 antisense RNA 1 (TSPAN11-AS1)
Source: RNAcentral